Molecule: long non-coding RNA, 698 nt
Filed under: Mustela putorius furo (domestic ferret)
Lineage: Eukaryota; Metazoa; Chordata; Mammalia; Carnivora; Mustelidae
Description: lncRNA (ENSMPUG00000028070.1)
Source: RNAcentral
GGGAUUGACCAGAAUGUAGCAAGUCCUGGGCUUUUGAGCAGUAUUGUCCAAGCAGCAGGGCCAAAGUCCCACUCCCACAGAGCUCCAAUCCAAUGGGUGUGUGCUGAAAUGCAGUAAAGGCCACCAUACUUUGCAGCAACUCUCAUCAAGAGGAGGAGUCUGUUCCCACAUGCCUUGAAUCUGGGCUGGCCUUGUGAGUUCCUUGUUUGGUCAAGGAAGGUCACAGAAGUGACAGUGGUCGAUUCCUAGCUUAGAGCGCAAGGAACCUUGAAACUUCUGCACGCAAGCUCUAGGGAUGCUACAACCGCCACGUGAACAAACCUGAGCUAAGCUGCUGGAGCAUGAAGGAUAAGAAAACAUGAGGAGAGAGGCCCCAGUGCCCCAGCUUUCCCAAGAAAAGCCAUAAUAAAACCAGCCAGUCCCAUUGGCCUACCAGCUGGCAGCAGAUGUGUGAACAGGCCCAGGCAAAAUCAGCUAAGCCUGGCCCAAGAAGAAUGGCCCAGGAGAGCAAGGGUGGACAAGGAGCAAAGAGUCUCCAGGACUUCCGGUCACAUGAGAGCAGCCAUGUGAGGUCCGUGAGUAGGGACCACAUCCAGUCUGGAAUGAAGGCAGCAUACUUGGAGACAAGGAAGAACUGAAUGGGAGAAGAGGGAGAGGAAACCUCCUUCCAGAAGGUAACAGUCUAACACUGUUGCUCC